GGAGCAAACAGGAUUAGAUACCCUGGUAGUCCACGCCGUAAACGAUGUCGACUUGGAGGUUGUUCCCUUGAGGAGUGGCUUCCGGAGCUAACGCGUUAAGUCGACCGCCUGGGGAGUACGGCCGCAAGGUUAAAACUCAAAUGAAUUGACGGGGGCCCGCACAAGCGGUGGAGCAUGUGGUUUAAUUCGAUGCAACGCGAAGAACCUUACCUACUCUUGACAUCCACGGAAUUCGGCAGAGAUGCCUUAGUGCCUUCGGGAACCGUGAGACAGGUGCUGCAUGGCUGUCGUCAGCUCGUGUUGUGAAAUGUUGGGUUAAGUCCCGCAACGAGCGCAACCCUUAUCCUUUGUUGCCAGCGAUUCGGUCGGGAACUCAAAGGAGACUGCCGGUGAUAAACCGGAGGAAGGUGGGGAUGACGUCAAGUCAUCAUGGCCCUUACGAGUAGGGCUACACACGUGCUACAAUGGCGCAUACAAAGAGAAGCGACCUCGCGAGAGCAAGCGGACCUCAUAAAGUGCGUCGUAGUCCGGAUCGGAGUCUGCAACUCGACUCCGUGAAGUCGGAAUCGCUAGUAAUCGUGGAUCAGAAUGCCACGGUGAAUACGUUCCCGGGCCUUGUACACACCGCCCGUCACACCAUGGGAGUGGGUUGCAAAAGAAGUAGGUAGCUUAACCUCCGGGA
Molecule: ribosomal RNA, 682 nt
Filed under: Pantoea sp.
Lineage: Bacteria; Pseudomonadati; Pseudomonadota; Gammaproteobacteria; Enterobacterales; Erwiniaceae
Description: bacterial SSU rRNA
Rfam family: Bacterial small subunit ribosomal RNA
Source: RNAcentral